UACGUAGGCAGCAAGCGUUGUUCGGAAUUACUGGGCGUAAAGAGUGUGUAGGCGGUGCUGCAAGUCUGGUGUGAAAUCUCCCGGCUCAACUGGGAGGGUGCGCCGGAAACUGCAGUGCUAGAGGGUGGGAGAGGUAAGCGGAAUUCCUGGUGUAGCGGUGAAAUGCGUAGAUAUCAGGAGGAACACCUGUGGUGUAGACAGCUUACUGGACCACUACUGACGCUGAGGAGCGAAAGCCAGGGGAGCAAACGGG
RNAcentral lists this ribosomal RNA (253 nucleotides) under uncultured bacterium. RNAcentral's name for it is "partial 16S ribosomal RNA". It matches the Rfam family "Bacterial small subunit ribosomal RNA", at positions 524 to 776 of the family's 1533-position model. The record is from RNAcentral.